This 200-nucleotide long non-coding RNA is filed under the name Homo sapiens (human). RNAcentral's name for it is "HSALNT0193196". Lineage: Eukaryota; Metazoa; Chordata; Mammalia; Primates; Hominidae. The record is from RNAcentral.
CUCCCCAGUUACAAUAUUUACAAAGGGCUGAAGUCUAUAUAAAAAAAUGAUCUUUGGCUGGGCAUGGUGGCUCAUGCCUGUAAUCCCAGCACUUUGGGAGGCUGAGGCAGGAGAAUCGCUUGAACCCGGGAGGCGGAGGUUGCGGUGAGUUGAGAUUGUGCCAUUGCACUCCAGCCUGGGUGACAAAGCGAGUCUCAAAA